ACCAAUGAAACAAGAUGUUUGUGAUGCACCCGACUAAUAAUUUCUAUUUCUGCCUGAAAUUCACGCUCUCCUUGCCCACUUCCAGCUUUUAGCUGCUUAACAGCCACUUCUUUCCCAUUAGGAAGGACUCCUCUGUGGACAUACCCAAAACCACCUUGACCAAGGAGGUUAGCAUCUGAGAAACCAUCUGUGGCCCUUGCUAAUUCCUCGUAGGUAAAAGUGCUCUUUGAGAAUCCCAAAGCAAUGCCUGGCGAAGGUGGCGGAAGCGGAUUUUCAGACCCAGAGUAAUUGGAGCUAG
RNAcentral lists this unclassified non-coding RNA (298 nucleotides) under Hevea brasiliensis (rubber tree). Lineage: Eukaryota; Viridiplantae; Streptophyta; Magnoliopsida; Malpighiales; Euphorbiaceae. The record is from RNAcentral.